UUGGACCUACGGGACGCAGCAGUGGGGAAUAUUGCACAAUGGGCGAAAGCCUGAUGCAGCAACGCCGCGUGAAGGAAGAAGGGUUUCGGCUCGUAAACUUCUAUCAACAGGGACGAAAGAAAUGACGGGACCUGAAUAAGAAGCCCCGGCUAACUACGUGCCAGCAGCCGCGGGAAUACGGAGGGGGCAAGCGUUAUCCGGAAUUACUGGGUGUAAAGGGGGAGGAGGCGGCAUGGUAAGCCAGAUGUGAAAG
RNAcentral lists this ribosomal RNA (253 nucleotides) under uncultured bacterium. RNAcentral describes it as "partial 16S ribosomal RNA". It matches the Rfam family "Bacterial small subunit ribosomal RNA", at positions 333 to 600 of the family's 1533-position model. The record is from RNAcentral.